UUUCCGUAGGUGAACCUGCGGGAGGAUCAUUAUUGUAUAACCGGGUGUCGAGGUCUGACGCGUACACGACAGGUCGUUAACGCCCGAGUGCCCUCACACAAAUCAAUCUCACCCCUAUGUGCACCACCACGUGGUUGCCCCUUUGUCUUGUUCUGAGGCAGCCUUACGAUUUCGGACAAACUAUGUAUGCAAUGUAGAAUGUAUUUGUUGAUUUUGCGUUCACGCAAGCUAUAGAACUUUCAACAACGGAUCUCUUUGCUCUCGCAUCGAAGAAGAACC
RNAcentral lists this unclassified non-coding RNA (279 nucleotides) under plant metagenome. RNAcentral's name for it is "partial contains small subunit ribosomal RNA, internal transcribed spacer 1, and 5.8S ribosomal RNA". The record is from RNAcentral.